Molecule: ribosomal RNA, 328 nt
Filed under: uncultured eukaryote
Lineage: Eukaryota
Description: partial 18S ribosomal RNA
Rfam family: Eukaryotic small subunit ribosomal RNA
Source: RNAcentral
CCCUUAGAUGUUCUGGGCUGCACGCGCGCUACACUGAUGCGCUCAACGAGUUUAUGACCUUGCCCGGAAGGGUUGGGUAAUCUUUUCAAAACGCAUCGUGAUGGGGAUAGAUUAUUGCAAUUAUUAAUCUUCAACGAGGAAUGCCUAGUAGGCGCAAGUCAUCAGCUUGCGUCGAUUACGUCCCUGCCCUUUGUACACACCGCCCGUCGCUCCUACCGAUUGGGUGUGCUGGUGAAAUGUUCGGAUCGGCCGUUUGUCGCGGUUUCCGCGUCAUGUGGCUGAGAAGUUCAUUAAACCCUCCCACCUAGAGGAAGGAGAAGUCGUAACA